RNAcentral lists this ribosomal RNA (253 nucleotides) under uncultured bacterium. Its description in RNAcentral is "partial 16S ribosomal RNA". It matches the Rfam family "Bacterial small subunit ribosomal RNA", at positions 524 to 776 of the family's 1533-position model. The record is from RNAcentral.
GACGGAGGGUGCAAACGUUGCUCGGAAUCACUGGGCGUAAAGGGCGUGUAGGCGGGAAGGGUAGUCAGAUGUGAAAGCCCUGGGCUCAACCCAGGAACUGCAUUUGAAACUCCCUUUCUUGAGUGUCGGAGAGGAAAGCGGAAUUCCUGGUGUAGAGGUGAAAUUCGUAGAUAUCAGGAGGAACACCGGUGGCGAAGGCGGCUUUCUGGACGACAACUGACGCUGAGACGCGAAAGCGUGGGGAGCAAACAGG